GAGUUUGAUCAUGGCUCAGGAUGAACGCUGGCGGCGUGCCUAAUACAUGCAAGUCGAGCGAGAAUCUAAGGAACGGAGAUUUCGGUUGAAGGACCUUAGAGGAAAGCGGCGGACGGGUGAGUAACGCGUGGGUAACCUGCCCCAUACAGAGGGAUAGCAGUUGGAAACGACUAUUAAUACCUCAUACUCUGUAUCAAUCGCAUGAUAGAUACAGGAAAGAUUUAUCGGUAUGGGAUGGACCCGCGUCUGAUUAGCUAGUUGGUGAGGUAACGGCUCACCAAGGCGACGAUCAGUAGCCAACCUUAGAGGGUGAUUGGCCACACUGGAACUGAGACACGGUCCAGACUCCUACGGGAGGCAGCAGUAGGGAAUAUUGGGCAAUGGGGGCAACCCUGACCCAGCAACGCCGCGUGAACGAAGAAAAUCUUCGGAUUGUAAAGUUCUUUUCUUGAGGAAGAAGAAAGUGACGUACUUCAAGGAAUAAGCACCGCA
RNAcentral lists this ribosomal RNA (492 nucleotides) under Peptostreptococcaceae bacterium canine oral taxon 021. RNAcentral's name for it is "bacterial SSU rRNA". It matches the Rfam family "Bacterial small subunit ribosomal RNA", at positions 9 to 497 of the family's 1533-position model. The record is from RNAcentral. Lineage: Bacteria; Bacillati; Bacillota; Clostridia; Peptostreptococcales; Peptostreptococcaceae.